Molecule: ribosomal RNA, 439 nt
Filed under: uncultured bacterium
Lineage: Bacteria
Description: bacterial SSU rRNA
Rfam family: Bacterial small subunit ribosomal RNA
Source: RNAcentral
AACGCGAAGAACCUUACCCAGGCUUGAACAGCGAGUGACCAUUCACGAAAGUGGACUUCCGCAAGGACACUCGUAGAGGUGCUGCAUGGCUGUCGUCAGCUCGUGUCGUGAGAUGUUGGGUUAAGUCCCGCAACGAGCGCAACCCUUGUUUGCUGUUGCCAUCAGGUAAAGCUGGGCACUCUGCAAAGACUGCCGGUGAUAAACCGGAGGAAGGUGGGGAUGACGUCAAGUCAGCAUGGCCUUUAUGUUUGGGGCUACACACGUGCUACAAUGGCCGAUACAAACCGUCGCGAGCCCGCAAGGGGGAGCUAAUCGGAGAAAGUCGGUCUCAGUUCGGAUUGUAGGCUGCAACUCGCCUGCAUGAAGUUGGAAUCGCUAGUAAUCGCGGAUCAGCACGCCGCGGUGAAUACGUUCCCGGGCCUUGUACACACCGUACGUC